GAUGAACGCUGACGGCGUGCUUAACACAUGCAAGUCGAACGGAAAGGCCCAAGCUUGCUUGGGUACUCGAGUGGCGAACGGGUGAGUAACACGUGGGUGAUCUGCCCUGCACUUCGGGAUAAGCCUGGGAAACUGGGUCUAAUACCGGAUAGGACGAUGGGUUGGAUGCCAUUGUGGAAAGUUUUUUCGGUGUGGGAUGAGCUCGCGGCCUAUCAGCUUGUUGGUGGGGUAAUGGCCUACCAAGGCGUCGACGGGUAGCCGGCCGGUGAGGGGGUACGGCCACCUUGCGACUGAGAUACGGCCCAGACUCCUGCGGGCGGCAGCAGUGGGGAAUAUUGAACAAUAGGCGCUGGCCUGAUGCAGCGACGCCGCGUGGGGGAUGACGGCCGUCGGGUUGUAGACUCCUUUCGCUAGGGACGAAGCGUUUUUGUGACGGUACCUGGAGAAGAAGCACCGGCUAACUACGUG
This 468-nucleotide ribosomal RNA is filed under the name uncultured bacterium. RNAcentral describes it as "partial 16S ribosomal RNA". It matches the Rfam family "Bacterial small subunit ribosomal RNA", at positions 28 to 507 of the family's 1533-position model. The record is from RNAcentral.